AUCUCUGUAUUUCCGAAUGGGGGAACCCAGCAUGAGUUAUGUCAUGUUAUCGACAUGUGAAUUCAUAGCAUGUCAGAAGGCAGACCCGGAGAACUGAAACAUCUUAGUACCCGGAGGAAGAGAAAGAAAAAUCGAUUCCCUGAGUAGCGGCGAGCGAAACGGGAAGAGCCCAAACCAACAAGCUUGCUUGUUGGGGUUGUAGGACACUCUAUACGGAGUUACAAAAGAACAUGUUAGACGAAUCAUCUGGAAAGAUGAAUCAAAGAAGGUAAUAAUCCUGUAGUCGAAAACAUAUUCUCUCUUGAGUGGAUCCUGAGUACGACGGAGCACGUGAAAUUCCGUCGGAAUCUGGGAGGACCAUCUCCUAAGGCUAAAUACUCUCUAGUGACCGAUAGUGAACCAGUACCGUGAGGGAAAGGUGAAAAGUACCCCGGAAGGGGAGUGAAAGAGAACUUGAAACCGUGUGCUUACAAGUAGUCAGAGCCCGUUAAUGGGUGAUGGCGUGCCUUUUGUAGAAUGAACCGGCGAGUUACGAUCUGAUGCAAGGUUAAGCAGCAAAUGUGGAGCCGCAGCGAAAGCGAGUCUGAAUAGGGCGUUGAGUAUUUGGUCGUAGACCCGAAACCAGGUGAUCUACCCUUGGUCAGGUUGAAGUUCAGGUAACACUGAAUGGAGGACCGAACCGACUUACGUUGAAAAGUGAGCGGAUGAACUGAGGGUAGCGGAGAAAUUCCAAUCGAACUUGGAGAUAGCUGGUUCUCUCCGAAAUAGCUUUAGGGCUAGCCUCAAGUGAUGAUUAUUGGAGGUAGAGCACUGUUUGGACGAGGGGCCCCUCUCGGGUUACCGAAUUCAGACAAACUCCGAAUGCCAAUUAAUUUAACUUGGGAGUCAGAACAUGGGUGAUAAGGUCCGUGUUCGAAAGGGAAACAGCCCAGACCACCAGCUAAGGUCCCAAAAUAUAUGUUAAGUGGAAAAGGAUGUGGCGUUGCCCAGACAACUAGGAUGUUGGCUUAGAAGCAGCCAUCAUUUAAAGAGUGCGUAAUAGCUCACUAGUCGAGUGACACUGCGCCGAAAAUGUACCGGGGCUAAACAUAUUACCGAAGCUGUGGAUUGUCCUUUGGACAAUGGUAGGAGAGCGUUCUAAGGGCGUCGAAGCAUGAUCGCAAGGACAUGUGGAGCGCUUAGAAGUGAGAAUGCCGGUGUGAGUAGCGAAAGACGGGUGAGAAUCCCGUCCACCGAUUGACUAAGGUUUCCAGAGGAAGGCUCGUCCGCUCUGGGUUAGUCGGG
RNAcentral lists this ribosomal RNA (1284 nucleotides) under Staphylococcus epidermidis. RNAcentral's name for it is "bacterial LSU rRNA". It matches the Rfam family "Bacterial large subunit ribosomal RNA", at positions 102 to 1388 of the family's 2925-position model. Lineage: Bacteria; Bacillati; Bacillota; Bacilli; Caryophanales; Staphylococcaceae. The record is from RNAcentral.